Molecule: ribosomal RNA, 1486 nt
Filed under: uncultured prokaryote
Description: partial 16S ribosomal RNA
Rfam family: Bacterial small subunit ribosomal RNA
Source: RNAcentral
AGAGUUUGAUCAUGGCUCAGGAUGAACGCUAGCGGCAGGCUUAACACAUGCAAGUCGAACGGUAACAGAACUAGCUUGCUAGUUGCUGACGAGUGGCGGACGGGUGAGUAACGCGUAUGCAACCUACCUAUAACAGGAGAAUAGCCCCGAGAAAUCGGGAUUAAUGCUCCAUAACAAUAUUUUUUGGCAUCUUAAGAUAUUUAAAGCUCCGGCGGUUAUAGAUGGGUAUGCGUGACAUUAGCUAGUUGGUGAGGUAACGGCCCACCAAGGCAACGAUGUCUAGGGGUUCUGAGAGGAUGAUCCCCCACACUGGUACUGAGACACGGACCAGACUCCUACGGGAGGCAGCAGUGAGGAAUAUUGCGCAAUGGAGGAAACUCUGACGCAGCCAUGCCGCGUGAGGAAUGAAUGCCCUAUGGGUUGUAAACUUCUUUUAUAUGGGAAGAAACUUUUCUACGUGUAGAAAACUGACGGUACCAUACGAAUAAGCACCGGCUAACUCCGUGCCAGCAGCCGCGGUAAUACGGAGGGUCCAAGCGUUAUCCGGAUUUAUUGGGUUUAAAGGGUGCGUAGGCGGAAUAGUAAGUCAGAGGUGAAAUCCUAUCGCUCAACGAUAGAACUGCCUUUGAUACUGUUAUUCUUGAGUAUGGUUGAAGUGGGCGGAAUAUGGCAUGUAGCGGUGAAAUGCUUAGAUAUGCCAUAGAACACCGAUUGCGAAGGCAGCUCACUAAGCCGUAACUGACGCUGAUGCACGAAAGCGUGGGGAGCGAACAGGAUUAGAUACCCUGGUAGUCCACGCUGUAAACGAUGAUCACUCGCUGUUGGCGAUACACUGUCAGCGGCCAAGCGAAAGUAUUAAGUGAUCCACCUGGGGAGUACGAUCGCAAGGUUGAAACUCAAAGGAAUUGACGGGGGCCCGCACAAGCGGUGGAGCAUGUGGUUUAAUUCGAUGAUACGCGAGGAACCUUACCUGGGCUUAAAUGUAGAAUGACAGGCUGGGAAACCAGUCCUUCUUCGGACAAUCUACAAGGUGCUGCAUGGUUGUCGUCAGCUCGUGCCGUGAGGUGUCGGGUUAAGUCCCUUAACGAGCGCAACCCCUACCUCUAGUUGCCAGCGGGUUAUGUCGGGGACUCUAGGAAGACUGCCAGCGCAAGCUGUGAGGAAGGUGGGGAUGACGUCAAAUCAUCACGGCCCUUACGUCCUGGGCUACACACGUGCUACAAUGGCGAGUACAAAGGGCAGCUACUUGGUGACAAGAAGCUAAUCUCUAAAACUCGUCCCAGUUCGGAUUGAAGUCUGCAACUCGACUUCAUGAAGAUGGAAUCGCUAGUAAUCGCGCAUCAGCAAUGGCGCGGUGAAUACGUUCCCGGGCCUUGUACACACCGCCCGUCAAGCCAUGGAAGCUGGGGGUGCCUGAAGUCGGUGACCGAAAGGAACUGCCUAGGGUAAAACUGGUAACUGGGGCUAAGUCGUAACAAAGGUAACC